Molecule: ribosomal RNA, 497 nt
Filed under: uncultured bacterium
Lineage: Bacteria
Description: partial 16S ribosomal RNA
Rfam family: Bacterial small subunit ribosomal RNA
Source: RNAcentral
GACGAACGCUGGCGGCGUGCCUAAUACAUGCAAGUUGAGCGCUGAAGGUUGGUACUUGUACCAACUGGAUGAGCAGCGAACGGGUGAGUAACGCGUGGGGAAUCUGCCUUUGAGCGGGGGACAACAUUUGGAAACGAAUGCUAAUACCGCAUAAAAACUUUAAACACAAGUUUUAAGUUUGAAAGAUGCAAUUGCAUCACUCAAAGAUGAUCCCGCGUUGUAUUAGCUAGUUGGUGAGGUAAAGGCUCACCAAGGCGAUGAUACAUAGCCGACCUGAGAGGGUGAUCGGCCACAUUGGGACUGAGACACGGCCCAAACUCCUACGGGAGGCAGCAGUAGGGAAUCUUCGGCAAUGGACGAAAGUCUGACCGAGCAACGCCGUGUGAGUGAAGAAGGUUUUCGGAUCGUAAAACUCUGUUGGUAGAGAAGAACGUUGGUGAGAGUGGAAAGCUCAUCAAGUGACGGUAACUACCCAGAAAGGGACGGCUAACUACGUG